AUUGAACGCUGGCGGCAGGCCUAACACAUGCAAGUCGAGCGGAUGACGGGAGAUUGCUCCUUGAUUCAGCGGCGGACGGGUGAGUAAUGCCUAGGAAUCUGCCUGGUAGUGGGGGACAACGUUUCGAAAGGAACGCUAAUACCGCAUACGUCCUACGGGAGAAAGCAGGGGACCUUCGGGCCUUGCGCUAUCAGAUGAGCCUAGGUCGGAUUAGCUAGUUGGUGGGGUAAUGGCCCACCAAGGCGACGUUCCGUAACUGGUCUGAGAGGAUGAUCAGUCACACUGGCACUGAGACACGGACCAGACUCCUGCGGGAGGCAGCAGUGGGGAAUAUUGGACAAUGGGCGAAAGCCCGAUCCAGCCAUGCCGCGUGUGUGAAGAAGGUCUUCGGAUUGUAAAGCACUUUAAGUUGGGAGGAAGGGCAGUAAGCUAAUACCUUGCUGUUUUGACGUUACCGACAGAAUAAGCACCGGCUAACUCUGUGCCAGCCGCCGCGGUAA
This 500-nucleotide ribosomal RNA is filed under the name uncultured bacterium. RNAcentral describes it as "partial 16S ribosomal RNA". It matches the Rfam family "Bacterial small subunit ribosomal RNA", at positions 30 to 523 of the family's 1533-position model. The record is from RNAcentral.